UUAGCGGCGGACGGGUGAGUAACACGUGGAUAACCUACCUAUAAGACUGGGAUAACUUCGGGAAACCGGAGCUAAUACCGGAUAAUAUUUUGAACCGCAUGGUUCAAAAGUGAAAGACGGUCUUGCUGUCACUUAUAGAUGGAUCCGCGCUGCAUUAGCUAGUUGGUAAGGUAACGGCUUACCAAGGCAACGAUGCAUAGCCGACCUGAGAGGGUGAUCGGCCACACUGGAACUGAGACACGGUCCAGACUCCUACGGGAGGCAGCAGUAGGGAAUCUUCCGCAAUGGGCGAAAGCCUGACGGAGCAACGCCGCGUGAGUGAUGAAGGUCUUCGGAUCGUAAAACUCUGUUAUUAGGGAAGAACAUAUGUGUAAGUAACUGUGCACAUCUUGACGGUACCUAAUCAGAAAGCCACGGCUAACUACGUGCCAGCAGCCGCGGUAAUACGUAGGUGGCAAGCGUUAUCCGGAAUUAUUGGGCGUAAAGCGCGCGUAGGCGGUUUUUUAAGUCUGAUGUGAAAGCCCACGGCUCAACCGUGGAGGGUCAUUGGAAACUGGAAAACUUGAGUGCAGAAGAGGAAAGUGGAAUUCCAUGUGUAGCGGUGAAAUGCGCAGAGAUAUGGAGGAACACCAGUGGCGAAGGCGACUUUCUGGUCUGUAA
RNAcentral lists this ribosomal RNA (660 nucleotides) under Staphylococcus aureus. RNAcentral describes it as "bacterial SSU rRNA". It matches the Rfam family "Bacterial small subunit ribosomal RNA", at positions 92 to 739 of the family's 1533-position model. Lineage: Bacteria; Bacillati; Bacillota; Bacilli; Caryophanales; Staphylococcaceae. The record is from RNAcentral.